AUGAUUUUUUGGUUUAACAUUUGGCUACAAAGGUGGAGGUAGAAACCCAAUGUUAUGCAUGUCUCCAGCAAGUGAAGGUCUCUAAAGUGACUUCCAAUAUCGAUGGGAAUGUGUUGGGAAUAUGUUGUUUUCUUGGUUUUCAGUUUUUCUAGCUAAUGUUUAACGAUGUAAGUUGUCCUCCGACCAAGUGACUGGCGAAAAAAACGUUCAGUCUUUGAAGAUUUAUUUCCAAACGUUGUGCGCUUGAGCACAGUCCUUAGAAAUCACACCUCACGAGCAACGCCGAGCAACCGCUUCAUCAAGGCUUGGAAUUGACUCCUAAGGACCGCUUGAGUGCUCAAAGUUUCUUUCUUUAAAAAUGUUUAGCUAACGUUAGCUACCGUUACUUUUAUUUUGGUGUUCUGCAAUAGCUCUAAUUUGCCAAUGUCGAGGUAUAAACGGUACCUCUGGGACCAUAGUGUCUAAGUCAACUAUAAGAUAUCGAUGAAGCGAUGUAAAUAACGUUAGCUAGUUAGCUUGCCUAACCUUAGCCUCUAAUAUCUCUGAAUAAAAUGAUUAUUUGUUGUAGAAGAACUGCACGGAUGCUCAAUUGAACUUGGACCAGUAUGAUGUGGAUGAAAAUAGCCAGGAAACAUUAGACCCACUAGGGGAACCUUGUGAAUGCCCAACUAAACUUGGACCAUGAUGAAGGAAUAAAACGUGAGAAGCAGGGGAACAUCAGGAAUACUGGACUAGACUAGGACCACGAUGAAGACAUGGAUGAUGAUGGCCAGGCAACAUUUGAAGAUGAAGACCCCUCAGACGAAAGAGAGCAAGAGGCAUAUGGAAGACCGCUCUUUGACAGAUCAAGCCUUACUGAGAACGAUCGCCUUACGGCAAGGAUAGCUGUGCUGCAAGCCCAGCUUCAGACGCGAUCGUUAGGCAAGGGUAAUUUCAGUGUAGGAAAGGAUGAAACAGCGUCUGUGCCACCAGACCUAAGCCCUAGGACCAUGCCUCAGGACUACCUGGUAUGAUGACUCCUUGCUGUCCCCAGUCCACCUGGCCGUGCUGCUGCUCCAGUUUCAACUGUUCUGCCUGCGGCUAUGGAACCCUGACCUGUUCACCGGACGUGCUUGUUGCACCCUCGACAACUACUAUGAUUAUUAUUAUUUGACCAUGCUGGUCAUUUAUGAACAUUUUAACAUCUUGACCAUGUUCUGUUAUAAUAUCCAC
This 1212-nucleotide long non-coding RNA is filed under the name Salmo salar (Atlantic salmon). Its description in RNAcentral is "lncRNA (ENSSSAG00000074102.2)". Lineage: Eukaryota; Metazoa; Chordata; Actinopteri; Salmoniformes; Salmonidae. The record is from RNAcentral.